CCCGACCGUUACUGCUACCUUGACGUGGUGGUCGGGCUUGCCUAUCAUGGCGAACCGAUCGAGCUAUACUGGCUGGAACAAUAGUUCCUCAAGGUCCUACCAUGCCACACAGGUCGGUUGAAGAGCGGUGAGACUAAAAUCAGU
This 144-nucleotide non-coding RNA is filed under the name Schistosoma mansoni. Lineage: Eukaryota; Metazoa; Platyhelminthes; Trematoda; Strigeidida; Schistosomatidae. The record is from RNAcentral.